Molecule: non-coding RNA, 184 nt
Filed under: Simonsiella muelleri (Scheibenbakterien Muller 1911)
Lineage: Bacteria; Pseudomonadati; Pseudomonadota; Betaproteobacteria; Neisseriales; Neisseriaceae
Also listed under: 1 other name
Description: 6S RNA
Rfam family: 6S / SsrS RNA
About the family: E. coli 6S RNA was the first non coding RNA to be sequenced, but its function was unknown until recently.
Source: RNAcentral
AUUUCCCUACGGUGUUCGUGAAGGCAUACAUUCCUUUGAACCAAUAAAGUUUGCUUCAGGUUGUCGGGAGUUGUAACAGGUGCGAGCGUUCCCUUUGUUGGAAUGCACCCGAAGUUACCCGAGAUAGCCGCCUUGUGUACAAGGUUCAAGCGGACUCGGCCGAAACGCCACCAGUGGGGUCUUA